CCCAAUCCUGAUACAGGGAGGUAGUGACAAUAAAUACUGAUACAGGGCUCUUUUGGGUCUUGUAAUCGGAAUGAGUACAAUUUAAACCUCUUAACGAGGAACAAUUGGAGGGCAAGUCUGGUGCCAGCAGCCGCGGUAAUUCCAGCUCCAAUAGCGUAUAUUAAAGUUGUUGCAGUUAAAAAGCUCGUAGUUGAACCUUUGGCCUGGCUGGCAGGUCCGCCUCACCGCGUGCACUUGUCCGGCCGGGCCUUUUCUUCUGGAGAACCGCAUGCCCUUCACUGGGUGUGUUGGGGACCAGGACUUUUACUUUGAAAAAAUUAGAGUGUUCAAAGCAGGCCUUUGCUCGAAUAUUACAGCAUGGAAUAAUAAAAUAGGACGUGCGGUUCUAUUUUGUUGGUUUCUAGGACCGCCGUAAUGAUUAAUAGGGACAGUCGGGGGCAUCAGUAUUCAAUUGUCAGAGGUGAAAUUCUUGGAUUUAUUGAAGACUAACUACUGCGAAAGCAUUUGCCAAGGAUGUUUUCAUUAAUCAGUGAACGAAAGUUAGGGGAUCGAAGACGAUCAGAUACCGUCGUAGUCUUAACCAUAAACUAUGCCGACUAGGGAUCGGGCGGUGUUAUUAUUUUGACUCGCUCGGCACCUUACGAGAAAUCAAAGUGUUUGGGUUCUGGGGGGAGUAUGGUCGCAAGGCUGAAACUUAA
This 698-nucleotide ribosomal RNA is filed under the name Helminthosporium chengduense. RNAcentral's name for it is "SSU rRNA". It matches the Rfam family "Eukaryotic small subunit ribosomal RNA", at positions 444 to 1147 of the family's 1831-position model. The record is from RNAcentral. Lineage: Eukaryota; Fungi; Ascomycota; Dothideomycetes; Pleosporales; Massarinaceae.